RNAcentral lists this transfer RNA (68 nucleotides) under Glossogobius olivaceus (urohaze-goby). RNAcentral's name for it is "tRNA-Phe". The record is from RNAcentral. Lineage: Eukaryota; Metazoa; Chordata; Actinopteri; Gobiiformes; Gobiidae.
GCUAACGUAGCUUAACUAAAGCAUAACACUGAAGAUGUUAGGAUAGGCCCUGGAAAGCCUCGUAAGCA